AGAGUUUGAUCCUGGCUCAGAAUCAACGCUGGCGGCGCGCCUAACACAUGCAAGUCGCACGAGAAAGUGGAGCAAUCCAUGAGUACAGUGGCGUACGGGUGAGUAACACGUGGAUCAUCUACCUCUUAGUGGGGAAUAACCCUGGGAAACCGGGGCUAAUACCGCAUAAGCUCGAGAGAGGAAAGCAGCAAUGCGCUGAGAGAGGAGUCCGCGGCCGAUUAGCUUGUUGGCAGGGUAAAAGCCUACCAAGGCAAAGAUCGGUAGCCGGCCUGAGAGGGCACACGGCCACACUGGCACUGAAACACGGGCCAGACUCCUACGGGAGGCAGCAGUGGGGAAUCUUGCACAAUGGGGGAAACCCUGAUGCAGCGACGCCGCGUGAGCGAUGAAGCCCUUCGGGGUGUAAAGCUCUUUCGGCAGGGAAGAUCAUGACGGUACCUGCAGAAGCAGCUGCGGCUAACUACGUGCCAGCAGCCGCGGUAAUACGUAGGCAGCAAGCGUUGUUCGGAGUUACUGGGCGUAAAGGGUGUGUAGGCGGUUUCUUAAGUUUGGUGUGAAAUCUCCCGGCUCAACUGGGAGGGUGCGCCGAAUACUGAGGGACUCGAGUGCGGGAGAGGAGAGUGGAAUUCCUGGUGUAGCGGUGAAAUGCGUAGAUAUCAGGAGGAACACCGGCGGUGUAGACGGCUCUCUGGACCGUAACUGACGCUGAGACACGAAAGCGUGGGUAGCAAACAGGAUUAGAUACCCUGGUAGUCCACGCCCUAAACGAUGCAUAUUUGGUGUGGGCAGUUCAUUCUGUCCGUGCCGGAGCUAACGCGUUAAAUAUGCCGCCUGGGGAGUACAGUCGCAAGGCUGAAACUCAAAGGAAUUGACGGGGCCCGCACAAGCGGUGGAGCAUGUGGUUCAAUUCGACGCAACGCGAAGAACCUUACCUGGGCUCGAAC
Molecule: ribosomal RNA, 944 nt
Filed under: uncultured bacterium
Lineage: Bacteria
Description: bacterial SSU rRNA
Rfam family: Bacterial small subunit ribosomal RNA
Source: RNAcentral